RNAcentral lists this long non-coding RNA (15639 nucleotides) under Phoenix dactylifera (date palm). RNAcentral describes it as "long non-coding RNA (PDAC_LNC004821)". Lineage: Eukaryota; Viridiplantae; Streptophyta; Magnoliopsida; Arecales; Arecaceae. The record is from RNAcentral.
UUUCUCCCCUCCUUCUCUCGCUCCCGUCGCCUCUCCAUCGCGCGCCCCUCUCGCCCCCCUGCUUCCAACCUCGCGGUCGGCUUGAAGACCCAAAUCCGCUCCGCUCACGACACCUCCCUUCUCUCCGCCGACGCCUGCCACCGGGACGACGUCCUCCGUGCCGCCCGGGGCGCCCUCUCCAACUGCCUCUCAGAGACCCACCUCGAUCGCACGGUUCCGGGCCUCACGGCCAAGGCCAGGGGCAAGGUGAGGCGGUCUUCCUUGGUUUUCUCAUAAUUCUUCUCUUAUCACUGGCGUCUUUCUCAGAGCCGAUGGGUUUCUGUAGGUGAGAGACAUUUAUGAUGGUGGUGACUAUCUGGUUCUGGUCACCACCGACCGGCAGAGUGCUUUUGAUCGGGUUCUCGCUUCCAUCCCUUUUAAAGGCCAGGUCUUUCUUCUCUCCUUUUCUAUCUUUCACAUUGUUUCUACUGUUUUCAGUUUGAACUUAAAAUCCCUUCUUUGACUGAUUGAUCUAACAUUUUGAUCCUUUCCAUGCUUAUUGAUCGAUUUCAUUUUGAAAAUUGACUUCUUUCAUUCCCUCGGGUUCAAAUGCAUUAUUUAUUUGAGGUUGGUCCUGUAGGAAUCCUGAAAAAAUAAUUUCUUACAAAUUUGUGAUUGAAUUUAAGGUCAUCUAAGAAUUGAGUCAAAGAUCUUAAUUUUCUUUGCUCUUGUUCAUUUGCUGAACAAAACUUCAUAUGUAUGUUUGGAUAUUAUAUUGCCUGGUUAUCUGUUUUGACUGGUCUGAGGAAGGAAGAAAAUAAUGUCUUUUGCAACUCAGAUGUUUCUGGUGAAGAUGUAUCUUCAAUAUACGUAGACUGUUAGAAAUGCUGAAACAUCAUAACCACGGGGAUGAAUAAGACAACUAUGAUGAAGAAACUUGGGGCAGUCAGCUGAGAAGAAAACUGCAUUGGUUCAAUGCAAGGGCAGAGAAAGAAUUUCUAGUGUUAAUCCUAAUGCAAGAACAGAAGAGGGAUUGUGCUAGUUGAGCCAUGAAGAGCUCACAAUGUCAUUUGAAUUGGAGCAUAUUUGUGCAAGUGAAGCAUUAUGUGAUGUGUUCUGAGGAACCACAUAUCUAGGUGUGACUAUGGUAGUGGAAGGCUUUAAUUCAUUGGAGUACAAUUCUUGAUGGGGUAAUUUCUCUUGGAGCGAAGGUUUUAAUUUUUGGGAGGACAGCAAGUGUCCAGGCCACCCUGUCCCAUUUGUGUGAGAAAAUGGGACUAGGUUGGGGGGAACUCCUUGGAACCUAUCAUGGAGAAAGAAGAAGAAAGAUAAAAGGAAGAAAGGAAAAAAAGAAGAAGAAAAUAAAAAAGGAAAGGAAGGAAAGAAGAAGAAAAAGAAAAGAAAUAAAGGAAGGGAGAAGAAAAAGAAAGAAAGAAAGGGAGGAAAAAAGAAAGGAAGAGAAGAAAAGAAAGAAAGGAAGGAAGAAAAGAAAGAAAGAAAGGAAGGAAAAAAAGAGGAAGAAAACAAAGAAAAAGAAAAAUAAAUGAAUAAAGGAAAAAAAAGAAAGAAGGGGAGAGAGAUGGAAGGUAUCUAUUGGGAUGUUCGAUUGGGAUGGCUACUAGGAUAGGGCGGGACAAAGGGGCAUCCUGUUUCAUGGAGAAACCGAGACAUCCUCAUCCCAUGGAAUUUAAAUCCUUGCUUGGGUGUCCUGGAAGUUGGGAUAUCAUGGUCACGAAGAAUGAUUAGGCAUGAGCUCUACUAAUGUUGCGAGACUAAUGAUGGGAAGAGCUAAUUUUACUUUUGGCUUAGUUUAUAUAUUAUAUACGAUAUUGGCAGGAGUAUAUUGAGUUAAAUUUUUACAAGCUUACCUUUGAAAGGGUAAACAAUCUUUUAGGUAGCAACAUGUGUGUCUCUUCUAGAAUUUUGAGGAGAAAGUUGAUGUGAAGUCAUUUUAUGGCUGAUGACUUUCAUUGGAGUAAAUUUAUAGGCAAUCCUUCAAUGACAAGCAGUGACUAUGCUCUUUUUAUGGUGGAUAGUGGGUUACAUUUUCUGAUUAUUCACCAUAUUGGUCCUCAUAUACCAACUUUUACAUAGAUUUCUAUUCCAUUGAACAAUAAUGGGAAGAAAUAGGAUAUGGCUUUUAGCAAAUGCAGCCAAAGCACAUGAAGUUGGAAGAAACGACUAAGGAUAGUGGUAAGAAUAUGGUGCUUAUACUUUUAGAAGAUGUGGCUUGUGCACUCAAGGUUGGAAGGGGCUAUUAAGGAAUAACUGUGGGCAACUUUAGAGGAUGGUAGUCUGUAAUCUGCCCUAAAUUCUUCUAGUAUAUAGGCAAAAAGUAAUGCACAUUCAGUAACCAAAAAAAAUCUAAUUAGGUUAGAGCAAUCAACAACAAAAUGGCAUCGUGAUUUUUGGUAAAGGAUGAGGUACCAAACAAAAAAUAAACCACACCAAAUUAGGAAAAUGCAAUGGGAACUAUAAAUAGACUAUAAGAAUAAGAAAAUUGUGAACAAUUGAAAUAUAUAAUUGAAAAUAUAAAACAGGAAGAUGAUUAAAAAUAAAAUAAAAAUUCUGAGUAAAAAUAUUUCAUAAAAUACAUUGUAGGAAAACAAAAACUUUAUAUGUAAACUUGAUAUAUGAUACCAAAAACCAAAUAUAAGUGAAAAAAACCAAAACAUCUUCCAUACACAAAAAGUCCAAAACAUAUUUCCUAUUGGUAAUGUAAUGCCCAUUAAAAUUAAAAGUAUAAAUAUAUAAUUAUAUUUUAAAUAAAAAUAUAUAGCUUUUUUUAAAUAAAAGUGAUUUUCAUAAAAGAAAACAUAAAUCUUGUAAAUUAACUUAUUAAAAAAUCAUUUAAUAAAAUAAUUAGAACAAAAUUUAUAAUAGAAUAGAGAACUUUAGAUAUAAAAUUGACUAUAUGAAAUCAAAAUUAGAUAUAACUGGAGAAAACCUGUUUCCUAUCCGAUAGUGCAAUGCACUUUAGAAAUAAAAAAAAUAUGAAUCUGAUUUUUUAAAAAAAUAGCAGAAGAAUGAUUUUCGUAAAGAAAAAGGGUAAAACUUGUAGAAGUUUAGAGAACACUAAAUAAUAAAUUAUAGAAAUUCAAAUACUUUGAUUUGGUCAAGACUUUUUUUAUUAAUUAGAUUUAGGGAAGUCUAGUGGAGGGAGAACUUAGGGAAUUGGUUGAGUAGAGAAAAUUCAGAGAGAGUGGGAGAAAUAAUGUUUAUGCUUUAAGAUCUACUUAGGAAUUCUGUACUUAGGAUUUUGUUUCCAGAAGUACCAAUAUUUGUUCUUAUGAUAUAACAGUUUUAAGUGUUAUCUUGUUAAUAUUCUAUCUAAUGGAAAAUAUGAAAGGCCCAAAGCUGCCCCAUUACUCCUUCUGAUAUAGUAUAGGUCCAUAAAAGUCUCUGAGGAAAAAUCUAGAUUGUAGGGAGACAAUGUUGAGAGAAAUUAAAACCUUAAUUCUAUUCCAUAUGAUAUCUAAACCAAUGUCUCAGGAGUUGGAGUUGGAGAAGAAAUUUAGAACUCUUGACCAGACAAAUCGAUUAGUCUUGAAGAGUAAAGUUUAAGAUUUAUUAAUUUUUUAUAACACUAAAGGUAUACUUCAAAAGGCAUCAAAAUCAUGCAUGCCAAAAGAAAGGAAAUAAAAGCAGUGGGUGCUGUAUAAGGCUUGGUACUGAAAUUUGGUAGAAUUCUUACCUUGCACUCUGCACAUGUUCACAAAUUUUGAAGCAUAUAUGUUAACAAGUAGUGUUUUAACGUUCAUGCAAGCCAGGAAGUGAAUAAUAUGUAUUUCUUUUAUCAUAAUUAAAGUCCACAUUUUAUUUCAAAAAAAAUGAUCAUGCAAAAUAUAUAGAAAUCUCCUUGCUUCUCUUUAAUUGAUACUGAAAAUUUCAUUUCAAUACUCGAAUUUUGUGUGGUAUGCCUCUCACUAAUGGUGCAAUGUAGGGUGCAAGAGGUGUGUGGUGUGCUGUCGCAGGCAACCAAAAAUAAAACCUAUACUUCUAAAAAUAUAUAUGUAGUAGUGCGAGUAAGGAUCGUUCCCACGGAGAGUAUCUAGCCUAGUUUUAUGCAACUUGAACAAGGAUGGAGGGGGGGUUUGAGUAUAAUGAAAAUAAUAAAACAACUAAAGAAGAAUUCAGAUUUAAGUAUUGAAAUCAAUCAAAAGAACAAAUCUUGGUCUAAGUCAACAUCCACCAUCGGAAUNNNNNNNNNNNNNNNNNNNNNNNNNNNNNNNNNNNNNNNNNNNNNNNNNNNNNNNNNNNNNNNNNNNNNNNNNNNNNNNNNNNNNNNNNNNNNNNNNNNNNNNNNNNNNNNNNNNNNNNNNNNNNNNNNNNNNNNNNNNNNNNNNNNNNNNNNNNNNNNNNNNNNNNNNNNNNNNNNNNNNNNNNNNNNNNNNNNNNNNNNNNNNNNNNNNNNNNNNNNNNNNNNNNNNNNNNNNNNNNNNNNNNNNNNNNNNNNNNNNNNNNNNNNNNNNNNNNNNNNNNNNNNNNNNNNNNNNNNNNNNNNNNNNNNNNNNNNNNNNNNNNNNNNNNNNNNNNNNNNNNNNNNNNNNNNNNNNGAGGGAGGGAGAGGGCGGUGACCGGAAUAGAGGCAAGGGAGAGAGGAGAGAGGGCUUUCGAAACCCUCUUGAGACCCCUCUCUCCUUCGUGUGUCGGAAUAGGGGUGGAGCCCUUGUUUCGAAAUGAGAUAGGGGCUUCCACCCCUUUUUAUAUAUUUUUUGAAUUUUUUAAGUGAAUUUGGCAGCCACUGCUGACAUCAUGCUGCCAACUUCACUUAGAAAACUUCAAAAAAGAGAAAAUAAUCAGUGAAGUCAACAGUGGCGGCUAACUUCACUUGAAAAAUUCAAAAAAAUAAAAAGGGGCAAAAGCUCCUGUUUUGUUUCAAAACAGGGGCUCUACCCCUGUUCCGACACAUGGAGGAGAUAGAGCUUUGAAAGCCCUCUCUCCCCCUCCCUUGCCCUUGUUUCGGCCAUUGCCAACCACUCUCUCUCGCCCCCUCUCUUUUGCCCCUCUCUCUCUUCCUCUCUUUCCUGCUCCCCUUCCGUUGAUUUCUUGAUCUGAAGGCUGGAUUCGUCUCGGUCCCUGCCGGUAUGGUUCAGUACGCCCUGAACUGGGCAGUUUGGGACGAUUCUGCCGUUGUUGGACGAAUCAUUUCCUAUGAGCCAUGUGAAGUGGAACCACCUCUAUUCUUUAGGUAUCUUGCAAACAGUAGAGUUUGGCGUUAAUUUGUGGUUUUCAUGAAUCGAACCCUUGUAAUCAGAAAUUCAAUUGCCCUUUCACUUUAAAUAUAGUAAAUUUCAGUAACAGUGGAAGGAGUGCCAAAGUCAAUUGUAGUAUAAAGCUGCCGGCCUUAUAGUAAUGUGGAGAGGCAUAAUCAGUGGAAUUUGGUUCCCUUAUUUUUCAAGAAUUUUUUUUUUUUUGGCCUUCUACUUCUUAUGGGGAAGGAAAAUCCUUCUGAAUGUUAGUACAGAAGGCUUCAAUUCACUAUGUUGGAUGAUGCUAUCUUGAAUACUGACAAAAGAAAUAUGGAGCAAAUAGGCUGCUAAUUUUGAAUUAUACUAUAAAAAGCAUUUGACUUAGAUGGUUUGCUCUAAUUCUUUAUUAUGAAUUUGGGCAUACCGUGAAAGAUGAUUACUGGAGCAGCUUUAGAAGUAUCAUAAUUAUAGUCUGUUAAUGACAACAGUGCUUGCUUUAUUUCUAUUGUAUAUAAAGCUCGCUUGCCAAGUCCAAGCUAAUCAUGUAAUUGGAUCAGCUGUGUGGACCUUCAUCAUCAUGUUUUAGUGGGAGUUGUGCAAAUUAGAGUUCAAGGGUUUAUGAAAUCAGGUCUUUUGGAAGCAAAUUAAUAAGAAACAUGGUUUCUAGGUUUUCUUUUGUUAGGAUUCCUUUUUUUUCUUUUUAUACAGCAAUAUUUUCUUUUUAUCCUUAAAUAGUUCUAGUGUUGGAAGUCCAUCAGGAGUUUCCAUUUUGAUUUAGGAUUCAAAAAUCUACUUGGACUGGCUCUCAUGAUUCUUAAAAAAAUGAGGUUAAAUUUGGGCAUAAGGUUGAUUUUGGGAUUUCUUCUGCUAAAAUUACUACAAGUUAAAUAAGAAAACAAGAUGGAUAAUUAUGAUUGGAUUUACUAUUCAUAUAAUAAAGUUAAAUAAUAUUGUGACUAUUGCUAUUGUUUAUAGCAAAAUUUGAAUGCUGGAAGAUUGCACAACAACAGCAGCCUGGCUUCUUUAACAGUGUAAACACACAAAAUGAUGCGACAACGUUUAAGGUUGUUUUGUGAUGGUUAGAAAAGAAACGCAGUGCAAAAAGGGGUCAGUUUGGAGGCAGUUUCCUGUAUAUUGUUCUGCUUUUUUGGUUUUUUGGGGGCUUAGAUCUGAUUUCAGGUAUUUAGAUUGGUUAUUUGUUUUUACUUGGUACUAAUUGAUGAAGGGCUAGAUUAGAAGUUGAGUGAACAUAUUGCAGAACCGUUAACUUUUAUGGUUCAAUGCUAAUUAAGAGGAAAUUUUGAGUGCUGGCUACAUGAUGGGACCUCCCCAACUUAUAUAUGCAUAUAUGCUUAUAUAUACAUACAUAUGUAUGUAUAUUUGUAUGUAUGUUUAUAUGUAUAUGUAUAGUUUGGUGGGUUUGCUCUUUUUUUCAUUUCCUUCUGGGUUUUACUCCAAUCUUGGGCCAUGAAAAUGCCCCUACUUUCUGAUUUUCUGCUGAUACACAGAAAAUUUCUAUCCCUUUUCUCAAGAUUUGAAAAUCAAAUUAGUUUGUAACAAUUGUAUCUUGAUCUAAAACAUAGAUCUAUAACAGUAAACACUUCCAUGUACAAAUCCUUUUCAUGUCAAUUGAAAGGAAUGAAAAUUUCAACCUUGAUUAAACAGCAAUAAAACACUACUCCCUACUUUCUGAUUUUCUGCUGGUAUAUGAAAAAUUUCUAAUCCUUUUUCUCAAGAUUUGAAAAUCAAAUCAAUUUGUAAAACUUGUAGCUUGGUCCUGAAAUAACAGUAAACACUUCCAUGUAUGAAUCCCUUGCAUGUCAAUGGAGAGGAAGAAAAAUUUUCAACCUUGUUAAAACUGGCAUAAAACAUUAUAUUAAAAAUUCAAUAAAUUACCCUAUACCUAAGAGGAAAAGAACUCUUCACGAAGAGUCUUGCCAGCAAUAUCCAAUUAGUUUUUAUUGUAGGAAAUAUUUGGCAUGAUAAUGCAGGAAACGGUUGCCUUAUGCCAAAAAUGCCUUGCAAGAAUUACACAAAGAUCUUUCCUUGUUGAAACAUUUAGAAGAAGAAAGAAAACUAUUAUGUGGGUCUCACAAAGAGAAUUGAUGCUUAACUCUUUCUCAACCAAACAUUCUAUGAUUGUUCUACCUCUAUUGUUAGAAAUAAUUUCCUGUAAUCCUUCCUGACUGCUUGUUGUUCUUUCCGUUCCCUUAAUUUUGCUUUUGAUCUGUAAAAGCCUAAGCUUAGCCUAAAUCAUAUUUUUUUUACCCAAACAUCUUCAAUUUAAUCAUCUUACAUGAGGAAAAUGGUGUCAUUCUUUUUUUUUUGUUUCCCGUUGCCCAAAAUGACAUCUUCUGCUUGCAUUUAAAUUCAUUCUGGCAGUAAUUUGUGCAUUUCUGAGGCUUUUGUAAAUUCAGAUGAAUCUUCAUUGGUAUCCUUAAAUUUCUUAAUUCUAUGAAUUGUAACUUGAGUCUAGCUAGAAAGUGUAAAAAUAUGCUAAGACAUUGCCAAUGAUAAGUGUUUAAUUUUGGAAUUAAAGAUGUCGUCCAUUAUUUUCUUCAGCAAUCUGUGUUUUUGGCAUAUGUUAUCAGUGGCUUUAACUUUCAGGUUCUUAAUGAGGCAAGUCUAUGGUGGUUCAGUAAGACUCGACAUAUUACCCCAAAUGCAGUGGUUUCUACUCCUGAUAAAAAUGUUACAAUUGCAAAAAAAUGCACAGUUUUCCCAGUUGAAUUUGUUGGUGAGACACUACUUGUUAUUCUUGUGCUCCAUUUGACACUCAUGUAUUUGACUUCUCUUUGAUCUUGUGAAGAUGGAUUAUGAAUGUUAUAUGCAUGGAAUAGCAUCUUAUAAAGAAGCAAGAUAAAGUCAAUAGCCUGAAUUUUUCAAUACAAUUAUCAUGAUGACCAUUAAGUUACUUGCCAUCAAGUUGGGGUCCAAGUUCAAAGGUAAAAAGUGACGGUAGAAAAAAGUUUGGGAAACUUAGAUGGAAGAUAAGAUAUGAAAAGUCUGCCAUAGUAGGAGAUGUAGCCCUUAAUAGGAGUAAUUGGCCAAGUACACCAUGGAACAAGCCAAAUUGAUUAUGAUCAUGGUUAGGACCUUUUGUUUCAAAUCCACAAAAACUAGCUGUGAAGCUCAUCAUUUCAUUAAGGAAGUGUCAUUUAUCCACAUAGAUUUGUGCAAAUUCUCAACAAUAAUAUUUUGUUGUCUAUCCAUUUCUUUUUUGAGGGAAUGAAAUUGCAAAUUUUCUUAAACUAUAUGGUCACCUUGAUUUGUCAUUAUGGUCAUUAGGGUCAUGAGGCUUCUUCACUACAUAUUUAUAGUUAUGGCAUAUGUUACUAUGAAAGACUGACUUGUGGUAUAAAUUAGUAACCUAAACCCCAAGUUACUUAUGCAAAUAUCACUGGACAGGGAAAUCACACAGAAGUUAUCAAUAUUGAGCAAUAUGUUUAGUCCUUUUGUCUUUUUUGUGUUUUUUCCUAAAAUUUUAAAUAAUCGACAUUUCUAUUUCUCAUUCCUUGUAUUUUUUGGUUACUCUUGUACCAUAACUAACAUUAGAUAAACUGGUGUAUGCCUGCAGUAAGAGGUUUUGUAUCUGGCAGCACUGACACAUCACUGUGGACAGUUUAUAGCAAAGGAGUAAGGAAUUAUUGUGGCAUUGUCCUUCCUGAAGGUUUGUUGAACUGAGUUUACAUAUAUAUUGUGAGCUUCAUAUUUAUAGCUAUAUUGAACUAAAGCUUAUUCUCUUUGAUAGUGCAGGUAUGGUAAAGAAUCAAAAGCUACCUGCAAAUAUACUUACACCUACAACAAAAGCGAGUGAUCACGAUGUUCCUGUGUCUCCUGAUGAGGUUUGAUUUGGUUGUUGUUUCAUAUAUUUCAAGUAAACUGACUUGCAUAAACAUAAUAUUUGAAUUUUGGGUUUUUUUGAAUUCAAUCCCUCUCAUUAUAUGGUAUUUUCUUAUUAAACUCUUCUUUCGAAUAUUUGCAAAUAAAUGCCACCUUAUUUUAGGAAUUCUCUUUGGGGGCCAACUUAAGUUUCCAUCAGCUGCUAGACAUCAAGAAUAACUUAUCAAGUUAAAAUAUCAAAAGUACCCUUAAUGGUAAUCUGUCAUCACCAGUAUCUACACUAACCACUUCUAUAACCUACCUUUACUGCUUCUGACUCAGCUUGCUUCCUCCUUUAGAGCUAAUGCCUGGUGAUUUCAUUCGUGCUUGUGCUGCCGCUGGUAGAGUUGAGCUCCUAGUCACCAUGCUUUUUGGGGCUGGGCUUCUCAUGGUAGCAAUCAUUAGGUCAACCUCCGCACCACAAGCUAUUUUGGACUCGAAUCCCAAACCUCAAGUGUGGCUGGCCUCCCUAUUGUUGACCACUUUAAAAAUAAGAUCCUUGCCAUGUUAGUUUCUAUGGUUGCGCUCUUUGCCACCAUCCUCACCAAGUUAGGCUCCUAUUGCUACCACAAUGUUGUUUUUCUCCUAAAUGUUGCUGCCACUUCCUUUGAUAGGGCUGCUUCUUACUGCUGCCGUUGUUAAGGUUAACCACCAUGUUGCCUUCAUCAUCGGGUUCAAGGCUCGCCGCAACCACCAUAGACAUUUUGCUUCUUAUUAUCAUCAUUGUUAAAACAGUGCUUCCUGCUGUCACCAUUAUUGAGUCGUGCUCCUUACUGUUGUUGUCAUUAAGGUCGAGCUCCUUGAUCUUCUUGACUUCUUCAUCCCUGUUAUCCUUGGAAGCUUGCUUAGUCUCACUGUCAUGAGAACUGAGGUCCAAAUCAUGUAAACAACUUAUUCCUCUGAAUUGUGUAUAGUUUUGUACAUAAUGCUAUGGUGAAAAUGGAUUGGAUAAUUCGAGUUUACCUGGAUAUGGGUAUCAAUGUUUAGCAUCAGACUAAUAGUUGUACCUGUAUUCGUGUCCAUCAAAUAAGAGCAGAUAAAAGAUAGCAUAUACAAAAAUAUCCAACUAGUUAUCUGAAUCCAUUUUCAGACUUAUGUUGGCUAAUAAGUUGUAACUGUCAUAUGUUUUCAACUUUACUUCAUAUGGUGAUAUCUUUAAGUUAGUGGGUUGCAUUUUCGAAUCACUAUUAAUCCGCCUUUUAACCUUAAGUUUGUAGCUCUAAAUAGUUACUUGAUCCAUUAAAUAGGUUUGUGAUUAAGUGGAUGCAGUUAUUUGUUAUUCUUUCGUGCAAUAAUUUUUGUAGAAUAGGGAAAUUUUUAUACAUCAACCUGCCUUUUUUGGUUUUUAAGAGACUUCCUAUAUUUUCCAUCUUUACAGAUUAACCAAGCCUUAAUGAGAGUGAUUUCUUUUGACAUCCUUCUGUUAGUAUAUAGGUCGCCAUAAGCAGAAGUCAGAGGUUUUCUGAGAAUCCAUAAAUGACAUAUUUGCCUUUAUAAGUGGAAUACUUUUUUCCUCUAUGCUCUGUUUUUACUUUUGAUCCAAUAUCAUCCCCCUCUUGAUUUCCUUACUGUUUAGUCCAUGGUUGAACUGUCUCCAUCCCUUCAUCAUCUUUCCUUACCAAGAGAUGGAGAGAACUUGACAAGUAUCAAGGAAUGUUGGCAAGGGAAUGUCUCCCUAGUGCUUGCAAGCCUCUUGUAACUCUAACUUGCUGGCAGCCUUGUUAAAGUGGACCGAUGGGGUAAUCUUAGCAUGAAGCAUUAUAUGAUUGGCUUCUAGGUUCAUAGACUUUGCGCGGAAGAAGUUAAGAGGACUGUUGAUCUCCAAAACCCCAUAAUUCUGUGCAAACAAGAGAAGGGCACGCAAGUUCUAGGUUCCCUAAAGAGCAAUCAGUACAAUCUAAGCAGUAAAACAACAAAGAAGUAUUAUUAUAGCCAAUCAGCAUGAACAAUCUGAUCUUUUAUAGCAAAUUUCUAGGUCCUAAGUGGGGAUCCAAAUCCUCUAGAUUCCAAGCAGAUGUUUCCCCGAGUAGACUAUGAACUAAAAAUUAGAAGUACAAAGGUAAAGAGAUGGAAAAACUUAAAAGAAGGAAGACGCAGUGCAGUUAUGUAGGAAUACCUUAAGAGAUUUAUGAUGGAUUUUGUGGCUCUUUGGUCUCUUUUCCCAGCUUUGCCACCUUUGCUACCAAUGACAUUUAUACAAUCACGUACCAUCAGUUAGGUACUAUCUAUUUCAUCUGUUGCAUCACCCCUAUCAGACCCCAAAGCCUCCCCUAGCCUUGUUGGUGCUGAUAUCAGCUCCAUCUUCUCAUCCUUGUUAGAAGACCUAUGCCAUGGCCUCCCUCUUCAUGAAGCACCCCAAGAUCCUUCCUCCAUCAAUUGGGAUUUCCAUAUCUCCCACCAUGAAUUUGUCCAUGUUGUGACAUCAAUAAUAGUUGCCACUAGCUUGUUUUGCAACACCCUCAUUGGCCUUGUUUUGAAUCUUCCCAAUGCAACCAUUGUUUGCAGCCAGGAUUUACCAAACCUAUGUGCCUUGUUGGGCAAAUGGGUACUAUAGAAGGUUUUUAAACCAUUGGAAUAGGAUUGAACUAUUGGUACUGUACUAUUCUGACAGGAUUUCGAUAUUAGAACAAACCUCGGAUCGCUGGAAGCUAGCCAGAAUGGGGCAUCCCAUCAGAGACAGGUUGGUACCGGUGGUAUAAACCCCAGUUUGGCCAGCAUGAUGCUCGUAUUGAUCAUCACGAUCGAAAUAGUUUGAUAUAGAUUGGUAUCAAUCCCAAUAUUACUUAUUUGAAGUUGUCCCAACAAAGAUGCACCAACCAAAUUUUCUUUUAAAGAGAGGGCUAUCUGGACAUUGUGAUGAUUUACACAUCUUGUGAGGGACUACAAAGCGCCUCUUUUGACCCAUUUUGCAAGAAAAAAGGAGAUAGAAAAAAGAGGAGAGAGAAGGAGAGAAAGAGGGGAAGAAGGGGAUGAGGGUUUUUCCUAUUCUCAUCAAGGAGGGGAUGCCAACAAAUCAACAAGGGAGGGAACUUUGUUCAGAUGCCCUCAUAUUUCUCUUUUUUAAUCCAAAGUUGGCAAAAAUCAAAAAAAUUGGCUGGGCUUUGACGAGUACCACGUAUAUAUCCACAACAUCAAGAGCCAUAGCUAGGUUAUUAUCCAACAUUUGAUGCCCAACAAGGAUGGGGUAUAAUGUUCCUGGUCCAGAUUACUAGCAAGACCUAGAUGUAUAUGAGAGCGAUCAACAUUCUACAAGGGAUUAAAGUUAUAAAGUGAGUUAUUAUGAUUUUCUUUUUCACAAAACUUGGUUGUAUUUUCCAUUCUUUCCUCAUAAAUUUUGUUAGUUAAUUGGUCAUUGAGUGUCGAUACUAGUAUUGAUACUUAGUUGUCAUAUACCCUUUAAAACACCCCUUAAACAUUAAAAAAAUACAAAAAAGGUCAUCUAAAUAUCUUUAUCACGGAUAAAAAAACCAAAAAAGUCAUAAAAAACUUAUCCAUCUCGGUAUGGGAUCACUACAAAUCCCUAUAGCAUGUGUCUGUACGGGAUUGUUUGAUACAGUAUUGGUUCAGCUAAAAACUAGUACCAGGCUUGAUAUCUAUACUUGAAACCUUGGUAUUAUAAUUAUAUAAACUAGGAUUAUAUUAGUCAAUGGCUUUGAUAAAAAGGAAAAAUUAAGGAUCAAAAAAAUAAUUGCCAGAUAUAAGGUUUUAGAUCCUACGGGAUGGAGGUAUCCUAGUUUCUCCAUGGAACCGGAUGCCUUGCUGUCCCGCCCUAUCCCAGGGGCAGUCCUGGUCAUGCAUAGGAGUGGCAAUCGGGUCAGGUCGAAUCAGAUACGGAUCGGGUUAAAAAUUUAUCAACCCAAACUCGACUGUUUGUUGAACAUGUCAAAAUUUCAAUUGAAUCUGACCUGUUUAUUAAACAAGAAACCUGACCCGACCCACAUAACCCAUUUGUUAAAUAGGUUAAACGAGUUAAAUGGGUCAGACAGAUUUUAAACGGGUUAAAUAGAUUUAAACAGGUUAAACAUGUUAAGUAGGUCGGGUUAAAUAGGGCAAAAACAGGUUAAGCAGGUUUCAAAUAGGUUAAACAGGUUAAACGGGUCAGGUUAUAAACCGACCCAAUUAUUAAACGGGUUAAAGGUUUAAAUCUGAACCCAACUCAUUUAAUAAAUAGGUUUUGACGGGUUGACCCAUUUGCGACCUAAACCCAUUUAUGUUAAGCCUAAACCUACUUAAAGCGGGUCAUUUACGGGUCGGGUCAUAGCUUGCCACCCCUAGCCAUGCAUCCCAGUAGAUAUCCUCUGUUUCUCUCCCCGUCUUCCUUUUCCUUCUUUGUUUCUUUCUUUUUCUUCUUUCUUUCCUUCCUUUCUUCUUUUUCUUCUACCUUCUUUUCUUUCCUUCCUUUCUUCUUUUUCUUCUACUUUCUUUUCUUUUCUUUCCUUUUCUUUCCUUUUCUUGUCCCUUCCAUUAUUUUUUUUCCUUUUUCUUCUUCUUUCUCUUUCCUUUGCUCCUUAUUUCCUUCCUUUCUUUGUUUUCUUCUUCUGUCCUUUCUUUUCUUCUUCUUCUUCUUCUUCUUCUUUCCUUUCACUUUUUCCUUUUCUCCAUCUUUCCUUCCCUUCUUUCUUUCCUCUUUCUCCUUUUCUUCCUGCAUGGAUGGGUAACCCAUUUUGGUUCCUUUUUCUCACAAGAAUGGGAUAGGACGGCUAGGAUGCCCCCUCAUCUCACUGGGACUUAAAACCUUGACCUGAUUAAUUGCUGGGCUAAUUUGUAGGAUGGAGAAAGUUAAGGGGCUUCUCAAUAAAUGGCCAUGAGAUAAAGGGUUAUCUCAAAAUUUCUCAUAAUAAUAAAACAGAGUUGAAAGAUUAUAUAUUUAAUUUGGACUAAUAAAAUAUAAAUCGGAAGAUAUUCUAUCACUAAAUUUAUAAUACUUGAUUUUUAUAUCUGUAUUGAUAUGGGUUUCUUUUCACAUUUAACCCUUCCUUUGUAGAUUAAUUGCAUAUAAAGACCUCUAUUUUAUAUGUUUUCAAAUUGAGAACUUCUUAUCCAAUGAAUUCUCUAAUAGGACCCUAACUUAAGUUUCCAUUACCAAUGGAAUAUUUAUUGUAUUCUUUAUCAUUUCUCCCCUUAGCCCAUUGGAGCUUCUAACUAGUGAGUCACACAUGCUUGUUGACCUUGUAGUCGUCAUUUUUUAGCUCUUCACUAUCACCAUUGAUCAAAUUAAGAUUUUGAUUUUAUCUUAGAUUUGGAGAUAGUAGUGUUGUGGAGCAAUUUAUUUUUUCAGUUAGAAGCUCUAGAGGGUCAAGGGACUGGAGUAAUGGAAGAAACUUGAUAUAUAUUUCACUAUGACUAAUAGAAAACUAAUUUGGGUCCUAUUGGAGAAUUUCUUGGAUAAAGGAGGUCUUAAUUUGCAGAUGUAUAAAACAAACAUGCUGCUGCUUAAUAUGUUUUUUGGUUUUUUCAUAUUUAAACACACCAAAAGAAAUUUUGUCCUAUGAAGUCCGACCUUAUUAUUCUCAUGGAUAACCCUCUUUAGUAAGGUUUUAAGUAUUGGACAGAUCACCCUCGUAAGGUUUUAAGUACUGAUCUGGAAAUCCAUAAUAGCGGCCAACCAGUAUAGGUCAUACCAGGGGUCAAUACCUGUACCGAGUGUCAAUAUGAUAUAUCUCUUGGUAUUGAUGCUUGACGUGGAGGGUGGGUUGGGGGGAGGGAAGGGGGGUAUGAGUAUCGGUUCCUUACUGGUUUGGUAUGGUAUAAACCACUACGAUCUCAGUUAUCACCCACAAAGGGUUCAUGAACUUCAAGGAAUGUGAGGUUUAGUUAUCUGAUAGCUCUGGUUAACCAUGAAAGCAUAAGUAUGCAGCUGCCUUAUUAUGGGUUAUAUAAUGCUUCAAAUGUACUAGGCACCAAUUUGUUAAUAAAAUCUAUAGGUCAACAUUAUAGAAAUCAUUGGAUGGAACCUAGCUUGUCCUUCAAAGGGGAGAAAGAAAGCUUAAUCCUACAAACUAUAUAACUGCUGCAUAGACACGGACAUGAGAGUGGUGCUUGGAUUUAUAUUCAAGCAAUUGAUUCAGCAGGAGGAGAUAAAAAGAGAUUCAAUGACACCUGGGAAAAGAUAAUUUAACUAAAUAUGAUAGUCACACAAAUGAAUUGAUUUUUCUGAUAUUUUAGAAAAAUUUCCCACCCUCUGAAAACCCCCUCAUCUGAUGGCUCUCUCCGUGCCGCCCGCCACGCAAAACCCUCCCAAAACUCUCCCGAAGACCCCCUUUCUCCCCUCCUUCUCUCGCUCCCGUCGCCUCUCCAUCGCGCGCCCCUCUCGCCCCCCUGCUUCCAACCUCGCGGUCGGCUUGAAGACCCAAAUCCGCUCCGCUCACGACACCUCCCUUCUCUCCGCCGACGCCUGCCACCGGGACGACGUCCUCCGUGCCGCCCGGGGCGCCCUCUCCAACUGCCUCUCAGAGACCCACCUCGAUCGCACGGUUCCGGGCCUCACGGCCAAGGCCAGGGGCAAGGUGAGAGACAUUUAUGAUGGUGGUGACUAUCUGGUUCUGGUCACCACCGACCGGCAGAGUGCUUUUGAUCGGGUUCUCGC